GAUGAACGCUGGCGGCGUGCCUAACACAUGCAAGUCGAACGUGAAGUCUAUUUCGAUAGGCUGAAAGUGGCGAACGGGUGAGUAACACGUUGGUGACCUGCCCCGAAGCGGGGGAUAACUCUGGGAAACCAGAGCUAACACCCCAGAUGUUUAAGGGUUUAGACGCCUUAAACUAAAACUCUGGUGCUUUGGGAGGGGCCUGCGGGCUAUCAGCUAGUUGGUGGGGUAAAAGCCUACCAAGGCGAAGACGGCUAGGGGGCGUGAGAGCGUGACCCCCCACAAGGGAACUGAGAAACGGUCCCUACUCCUACGGGAGGCAGCAGUGAGGAAUAUUGAGCAAUGGGCGCAAGCCUGACUCAGCAACGCCGCGUGGAUGAUGACGGCCUUCGGGUUGUAAAAUCCUUUUCUGGGGGAAGAUAAUGACGGUACCCCAGGAAUAAGUUCCGGCUAACUACGUGCCAGCAGCCGCGGUAAAACGUAGGGGACAAGCGUUAUCCGGAUUUACUGGGCGUAAAGCGCAUGUAGGUGGCUUGACAAGUUGGACGUGAAAGCUCCCGGCUUAACUGGGAGAGGUCGUUCAAAACUGGCAAGCUUGAGGAUGGAAGAGGAGAGCGGAAUUCCCGGUGUAGUGGUGGAAUGCGUAGAUAUCGGGAGGAACACCAGUGGCGAAAGCGGCUCUCUGGUUCAAACCUGACACUGAGAUGCGAAAGCGUGGGGAGCGAACGGGAUUAGAUACCCCGGUAGUCCACGCUGUAAACGAUGGAUACUAGGUGUAGGCGGUCAUUAACCCCGUCUGAGCCGAAGCCAACGCGUUAAGUAUCCCGCCUGGGGACUACGGCCGCAAGGCUA
Molecule: ribosomal RNA, 849 nt
Filed under: uncultured bacterium
Lineage: Bacteria
Description: bacterial SSU rRNA
Rfam family: Bacterial small subunit ribosomal RNA
Source: RNAcentral